This 876-nucleotide ribosomal RNA is filed under the name uncultured bacterium. Its description in RNAcentral is "bacterial SSU rRNA". It matches the Rfam family "Bacterial small subunit ribosomal RNA", at positions 33 to 899 of the family's 1533-position model. The record is from RNAcentral.
ACGCUAGCUACAGGCUUAACACAUGCAAGUCGAGGGGAAACGACAUCGAAAGCUUGCUUUUGACGGGCGUCGACCGGCGCACGGGUGAGUAACGCGUAUCCAACCUGCCCAUCACUUGGGGAUAACCUUGCGAAAGUAAGACUAAUACCCAAUGAUAUCUCUAGAAGACAUCUGAAAGAGAUUAAAGAUUUAUCGGUGAUGGAUGGGGAUGCGUCUGAUUAGCUUGUUGGCGGGGUAACGGCCCACCAAGGCGACGAUCAGUAGGGGUUCUGAGAGGAAGGUCCCCCACAUUGGAACUGAGACACGGUCCAAACUCCUACGGGAGGCAGCAGUGAGGAAUAUUGGUCAAUGGGCGAGAGCCUGAACCAGCCAAGUAGCGUGCAGGAUGACGGCCCUAUGGGUUGUAAACUGCUUUUAUAAGGGAAUAAAGUGAGUCUCGUGAGACUUUUUGCAUGUACCUUAUGAAUAAGGACCGGCUAAUUCCGUGCCAGCAGCCGCGGUAAUACGGAAGGUCCGGGCGUUAUCCGGAUUUAUUGGGUUUAAAGGGAGCGUAGGCCGGAGAUUAAGCGUGUUGUGAAAUGUAGACGCUCAACGUCUGCACUGCAGCGCGAACUGGUUUCCUUGAGUACGCACAAAGUGGGCGGAAUUCGUGGUGUAGCGGUGAAAUGCUUAGAUAUCACGAAGAACUCCGAUUGCGAAGGCAGCUCACUGGAGCGCAACUGACGCUGAAGCUCGAAAGUGCGGGUAUCGAACAGGAUUAGAUACCCUGGUAGUCCGCACGGUAAACGAUGGAUGCCCGCUGUUGGUCUGAAUAGGUCAGCGGCCAAGCGAAAGCAUUAAGCAUCCCACCUGGGGAGUACGCCGGCAACGGUGAAA